UAAUUGGGAAACGUUUUUUCGCUUAAAAGGUAUGAGACUAUAUGGUAUCAGGUAGUUGGUGGGGUAAGAGCCUACCAAGCCUAUGACGCCUAGCAGGUCUGAGAGGGAUGAUCGAGCCCACACUGGAACUGAGACACGGUCCAG
This 144-nucleotide ribosomal RNA is filed under the name uncultured bacterium. RNAcentral's name for it is "partial 16S ribosomal RNA". It matches the Rfam family "Bacterial small subunit ribosomal RNA", at positions 194 to 334 of the family's 1533-position model. The record is from RNAcentral.